GACGAACGCUGGCGGCGUGCUUAACACAUGCAAGUCGAACGGAAAGGCCCUGCUUUUGUGGGGUGCUCGAGUGGCGAACGGGUGAGUAACACGUGAGUAACCUGCCCUUGACUUUGGGAUAACUUCAGGAAACUGGGGCUAAUACCGGAUAGGAGCUCCUGCUGCAUGGUGGGGGUUGGAAAGUUUCGGCGGUUGGGGAUGGACUCGCGGCUUAUCAGCUUGUUGGUGGGGUAGUGGCUUACCAAGGCUUUGACGGGUAGCCGGCCUGAGAGGGUGACCGGCCAAAUUGAGACUGAGAUACGGCCCAGACUCCAACGGGAGGAAGCAGUGGGAAAUAUUGCACAAUGGGAGGAAGCCUGAUGCAGCAACGCCGCGUGCGGGAUGACGGCCUUCGAGUUGUAAACCGCUUUCGCCUGGGACGAAGCGUGAGUGACGGUAAUGGGUAAAGAAGCACCGGCUAACUACGUG
RNAcentral lists this ribosomal RNA (468 nucleotides) under uncultured bacterium. RNAcentral's name for it is "partial 16S ribosomal RNA". It matches the Rfam family "Bacterial small subunit ribosomal RNA", at positions 28 to 507 of the family's 1533-position model. The record is from RNAcentral.